RNAcentral lists this transfer RNA (77 nucleotides) under Candidatus Levybacteria bacterium RIFCSPHIGHO2_01_FULL_36_15b. RNAcentral's name for it is "tRNA-Met". It matches the Rfam family "tRNA". Rfam says of the family: Transfer RNA (tRNA) molecules are approximately 80 nucleotides in length. Their secondary structure includes four short double-helical elements and three loops (D, anti-codon, and T loops). The record is from RNAcentral. Lineage: Bacteria; Candidatus Levyibacteriota. RNAcentral also lists the same sequence under 1 other name.
GCCAGGGUAGCUCAGUCGGUUAGAGCACAGGAUUCAUAUCCCUGAGGUCGUGGGUUCGAUCCCCACCCCUGGUACUA